UGGGGAAUAUUGCACAAUGGGCGCAAGCCUGAUGCAGCCAUGCCGCGUGUGUGAAGAAGGCCUUCGGGUUGUAAAGCACUUUCAGCGGGGAGGAAGGCGUUAAGGUUAAUAACCUUGUCGAUUGACGUUACCCGCAGAAGAAGCCCCGGCCAACUCCGUGCCAGCAGCCGCGGUAAUACGGAGGGUGCAAGCGUUAAUCGGAAUUACUGGGCGUAAAGCGCACGCAGGCGGUUGAUUGAGUCAAAUGUGAAAUCCCCGGGCUUAACCUGAGAUCAGCAUUGGAAACUGGGGAGCUAGAGUCUUGUAGAGGGGGGGAGAAUUCCAUGUGUAGCGGUGAAAUGCGUAGAGAUGUGGAGGAAUACCGGUGGCGAAGGCAGCCUCCUGGGCUAAGACUGACGCUCAGAGGCGAAAGCGAGGGGAGCAAACAGG
This 429-nucleotide ribosomal RNA is filed under the name Chloroflexota bacterium. Its description in RNAcentral is "Chloroflexi bacterium partial 16S ribosomal RNA". It matches the Rfam family "Bacterial small subunit ribosomal RNA", at positions 355 to 776 of the family's 1533-position model. Lineage: Bacteria; Bacillati; Chloroflexota. The record is from RNAcentral.